Molecule: ribosomal RNA, 435 nt
Filed under: uncultured bacterium
Lineage: Bacteria
Description: partial 16S ribosomal RNA
Rfam family: Bacterial small subunit ribosomal RNA
Source: RNAcentral
GAUGAACGCUGGCGGUAUGCUUAACACAUGCAAGUCGAACGGACUCUUCGGAGUUAGUGGCGGACGGGUGAGUAACGCGUGAGAAUCUGGCUUUGGGUUCGGGACAACCACUGGAAACGGUGGCUAAUACCGGAUGUGCCGAGAGGUAAAAGAGAAAUUGCCUGAAGAUGAGCUCGCGUCUGAUUAGCUAGUUGGUGAGGUAAAGGCUCACCAAGGCAGCGAUCAGUAGCUGGUCUGAGAGGAUGACCAGCCACACUGGGACUGAGACACGGCCCAGACUCCUACGGGAGGCAGCAGUGGGGAAUUUUCCGAAAUGGGCGAAAGCCUGACGGAGCAGUACCGCGUGAGGGAAGAAGGCUCUUGGGUUGUAAACCUCUUUUCUUAGGGAAGAACAAAAUGACGGUACCUAAGGAAUCAGCAUCGGCUAACUCCGUG